GAGUCUUUUUCUUGUUUGAACAUUUUGUAUUUUGUAGGGAUGGAGAUCCUUUUGCAAAGACCCAGCUUGCAUAGUUGGUGACUCACACCACUUAUGACUCCAGCUGCAGAGCAUCCCAUGACUGAGGGCAAGGUACUCACGUGCACGUAAGCCAGUAUGGACGCACACACAUAAUUAAGAGAAAGAUUGAACCUGAGCCUCGCCAGUGUGAAACAGGAGCCCACCACCCAGAUGCACCUUUCAAUCUUUUAUUUCACAGCUGAUCUUAGCCAAGGCGUACAAUAUACUUCUUUUCUACAUUAA
Long non-coding RNA from Apodemus sylvaticus (European woodmouse), 303 nucleotides. RefSeq lists it as uncharacterized. The record is from RefSeq and is a predicted model, not a curated record. The transcript has 2 exons. NCBI's taxonomy places the organism in Eukaryota, Metazoa, Chordata, Mammalia, Rodentia, Muridae.